This 381-nucleotide long non-coding RNA is filed under the name Solanum tuberosum (potato). RNAcentral describes it as "long non-coding RNA (STUB_LNC001694)". Lineage: Eukaryota; Viridiplantae; Streptophyta; Magnoliopsida; Solanales; Solanaceae. The record is from RNAcentral.
GUGUUUAUACUUAUCUGAGUGAGAACUGAAGAUUACCACUUGGAGGAAGCCCUAAAUAAGAUCGAUUUGUACAUCAGUAUAAGGACAAUGCAUAACAAUGUACUUCAUUUGGAUUUAAUCAAAAGGGGUUGUGGGAUUACCUUUCACACAGGAACAGGACCAAGAGUUGUUAAGCUGAAGAAGUCUUCGAUGGACAAGAAUACAUGGCGUUAGUGAGAUUUAUAACAUCUUAGUGUAAUCUAUCCAAGCUCGACACUAAUCUUCCCUAGUUCUUCUAUGAUUAAGAUCUAGCUCAUCUCUCAUCAUUUGAACAAAGAUCCUUCAAUGGAGGUUCGCCUUUGUCGACAGGAUUGAAGAUUGGAGAACCGUUUGUUGAAGAAG